RNAcentral lists this long non-coding RNA (2343 nucleotides) under Sus scrofa (pig). Its description in RNAcentral is "lncRNA (ENSSSCG00030064913.1)". The record is from RNAcentral. Lineage: Eukaryota; Metazoa; Chordata; Mammalia; Artiodactyla; Suidae.
CUGCAGCUCCAAUUCAACCCCUAGCCUGGGACCCUCCGUAUGCCAUGGUGCAGCCCUAAAAAUAAAAAAAAUAAAAAAAAUGGCAAAAAAUAAAAUAAAUGUGGAGAGUUCUUUCUGUAUUCUGAAGGCAAGCACUUUGUCAGUUGUAUGUUUCACGAAUAAUUUCUCCCAGUCUGCGGCUUUUCUUAAUAGUGAUUUUCAAAGCACAGAAGUUUUCAAGUUUGAUAAAAGCCAACCCGUUUUUUUUCCACCCCAUGGAAGGGCUUUUGGUGUCNCAUUCAAGAAGACCUUGAGUAACAAAAGUGCACAAUAAAUUUCUUGCAAGUUUUCUUUUAUGUGUUUUAUAGUUUGGGGUUUGAUAUUCAGUUCUAUGAUCCUUUUUGAGUUUAAUUUUUUUAUAUGCUUUGAGGUGUGGAUAGACAUUCUUCGGGGAUGGGAGAGGGCAUCAUCCACUUAUUCCACCAUGAUUUGUUGGAAAACAUAUCAUUUCUCAACUGAACUGCCUUUGCACCUUAGUGGAAAACUAGUUUUCCAUAUAUGUGGCUCUAGUAGGUCUUGAAAUCAAGUGCUGUUAGCCCUCCAGCUUCUAGUCCCCCAGCUUCAUGGUGGCUUGCCUAUCUUAGGUGCUUUGCAUUUCCAUACACAUUUUUAGAAUCAAUUUGUCAACGCCUACAAAAAAAAAGCUCACAGAUUUCAGCUGGGAUUGCAUUGAAUGCCCCAGGAAGUUUGGGGAGAAUUGACAUCUUGACAAUAUUGAGUCUUCUGAUCCAUGAACACAUUAUAUUUCUUCAUUGAUUUAAAUCGUCUUUAAUCUAUCUCAGUGUUUUUAGUCUUUGGUAUACAGGUCUUUUGUCAUAGUUUCUUCAAGCUAUUCAAUAUUUUGUAAUGCUUAGUAAAAGGUAUUUUUCAUUUAAUUUCAAGUUUCUAUGUAUUUCUAAUACCUAAAAUUAUGAUGAUUUUUGUAUAUUGGUUUUGUAACCUUCAUGCGUGCUAGUCUCAUUUAUUAGGUUUGUAGAGAUUUUAUCCUAUUUUCUACAUCAUCAGUUACAGGGGAGGGAAUGCUUUUCCUCUACCUUCUUAGGUUCUGUACCUGGGGCCUGUGAAUUAAGCUGAUAAAAGAAAGAUGAAUAGGAGAAUAAGGAAUAGAAAUUUAAUUAAUAUUUUACAUUUUACAUGCGUGGGGAAUACACAGAAAAGAAGUGAAAACCCAAAGAAGCAGUUAGACUCAGAAACAUAUAUAGCAUUUUAACAAAGUGUGAUAAGGAGAAAUAACUAGACAAAGGAAAGGGGUACUAAAUUGUGGGAAGGUAAGUAAAUGGGGAAACUAAUGGAAGAUAAGGGUUAGUUUAGUGUGGUUUGUUUGGGCAGACUUUUCUUGACACUGGCUUUCUGUCUUCUUCUGGGCCAUAAAACUCCCCUGGAGAAGGGAUUUAUAGCAACCUCCUUUCUCAAGUUUCUGCUUUUAGUCCGAUAAGGGAAGCUCCAAGAAGUCUUAUUUCAACAUCUGUUGAUUCUCAGUUGCCUUCAGCUUGAAAUGAGCCGUAUGCCAGAGUGGCAUACUUUGGAGGGGCAUAGUCUGCUCUCCUUCACAAUCGUGUCAUCUGUCAUAAAUCCAUUUUUACUUCACUCUUUCCAAUCCGAAUGACUUGUCUCCCUUCCUUCCGUCCCCUUCCUUCUUCCUAAUUCCCUCCCUCAUCAAAGUGAGAACAUUUCCUCUCUUCCUAAGCUGCUGAGCGCUUUUCAUCUGCCGUGAAGUUUGGACUUUGCCAAAUACCUUUUCUGCAUUCAUCGAGAUAUUCCUGAGGUUUUUCUUUUAGAGUUGUUAAUAUGGUGAAUCCCCUGGAUUGGUUUUUUGAUGUGAAGCCCCGAGAAAGAUUUCCCUUUGGAGUCUUUUUGUGUCUCCCAAAAUAAGUCAUCAUUCCUACCCCUCCGUUUCCUGAGGAAUGUUAGGCUGUGAACCAGAGCAAGUGUGGGUAGGAGGAAGAAACUUUUAAGUCUUAAAGGUGAAAACCAAGCCAAUCAGUCCCUGGAUUCUGUACUGAGCCAAUUAAAAAAAAAAUUAUAUAUAAUAUAUGAAUAGAGUUUGGCUGGAGAGCAGAGAGAGUUCUGGGGACAGCUUCAUGGCUUUUGGAGAAGAGAUCGAAGAUGCCCCUUAGGGACAGACAGAAGUGGAGCUCUGGGUACCUUAUGGCGUGCUUCACAGGCCCUUGUCAUUUUACUUCUCUGUGGAGGGAAAAUGCAGCUAAAAAUUGAGAACUUCCCUCCUAUUACUAGGAUGCCACUGGUCCUUGGUACAUGACCCAUCACCUUUCAGUUCUUCCCUGAAGACAUUACUCAAUGAUU